UAACACGUAGGUGGCGAACGUUAUCCGGAAUUACUGGGCGUAAAGGGUCCGCAGGCGGCGGAGGAGGUCUGGUGUGACAGCCCGUGGCUCAACUACGGGAGGCCACUGGAAACCGCUCCGCUCGAAUCAGGCCGAGGUCGGUGGAAUUCCCGGUGUAGUGGUGGAAUGCGUAGAGAUCGGGAGGAACCUCGAAAGCGAAGGCAGCCGGCUAGGCCCUGAUUGACGCUGAGGGACGAGAGCGUGGGGAGCGAACAGGAUUAGAUACCCUGGUAGUCCACGCCGUAAACGAUGUGUGCUCGGUGUGUGGUCCGUCAGGGCUGCGCGCCUCAGCUAACGCGUAAGCACACCGCCUGGGGAGUACGGCCGCAAGGCUA
RNAcentral lists this ribosomal RNA (374 nucleotides) under uncultured bacterium. Its description in RNAcentral is "bacterial SSU rRNA". It matches the Rfam family "Bacterial small subunit ribosomal RNA", at positions 521 to 896 of the family's 1533-position model. The record is from RNAcentral.